Molecule: ribosomal RNA, 489 nt
Filed under: uncultured bacterium
Lineage: Bacteria
Description: bacterial SSU rRNA
Rfam family: Bacterial small subunit ribosomal RNA
Source: RNAcentral
AGUGAACGCUGGCGGCAGGCCUAAUACAUGCAAGUCGAACGGCAGCACAGCAGAGCUUGCUCUGUGGGUGGCGAGUGGCGGACGGGUGAGGAAUACAUGGGAAUCUGCCCAGUCGUGGGGGAUAACGUAGGGAAACUUACGCUAAUACCGCAUGCGCCCUUCGGGGGAAAGCCGGGGACCUUCGGGCCUGGCGCGAUUGGAUGAGCCCAUGUCGGAUUAGCUAGUUGGCGGGGUAAUGGCCCACCAAGGCGACGAUCCGUAGCUGGUCUGAGAGGAUGAUCAGCCACACUGGAACUGAGACACGGUCCAGACUCCUACGGGAGCAGCAGUAGGGAAUAUUGGACAAUGGCGCAAGCCUGAUCCAGCCAUGCCGCGUGAGUGAAGAAGGCCCUCGGGUUGUAAAGCUCUUUUGUCCGGAAAGAAAGCGCCGGGUUAAUACCCUGGUGUCCUGACGGUACCGGAAGAAUAAGCACCGGCUAACUUCGUGCC